UUCCGGUUGAUCCUGCCGGAGGGAACCCCUAUCGGGUUCAGACUAAGCCUUGCKAGUCAAGCUGGGGGCACUUGCCCCUGGCGGCGCACGGCUCAGUAAUACGCGGUCAACCUACCCUGGGGACCGGGAUAACCUCCGGAAACUGAGGCUAAUCCCGGAUGGGUGUAGGGUGCUGAAAUGCCCCUACGCCGAAAGUAGGCGGGAAAUGGACCGCUGAGGCCCCAGGAUGGGACCGCGGCCUAUCAGGUAAUAGGUGGGGUAACGGCCCACCUAGCCUACGACGGGUACGGGCCCUGAGAGGGGGAGCCCGGAGAUGGGCACUGABACAAGGGUCUAGGCCCUAAGGGGCGCAGCAGGCGCGAAGAUUCCGCAAUGCCCGAAAGGGCGACGGAGUGAACCCGAGUGCCACCCGCUGAGGGUGGCUGUUCCCCUGUGUAAAAAGCAGGGGGUAGGAAGGGGAGGGCAAGGCUGGUGGCAGCCGCCGCGGUAAAACCAGCUCCCCGAGGGGUUCCCACGCAUACUGGGCCUAAAGCGUCCGUAGCCGGCCCUGUAAGUCCGCAGUUAAAUCYGCCUGUAUACA
This 580-nucleotide ribosomal RNA is filed under the name uncultured archaeon. Its description in RNAcentral is "bacterial SSU rRNA". It matches the Rfam family "Archaeal small subunit ribosomal RNA", at positions 1 to 564 of the family's 1478-position model. The record is from RNAcentral.